CGAGUGCUUGCACUCAAUUGGAAAGAGGAGUGGCGGACGGGUGAGUAACACGUGGGUAACCUACCCAUCAGAGGGGGAUAACACUUGGAAACAGGUGCUAAUACCGCAUAACAGUUUAUGCCGCAUGGCAUAAGAGUGAAAGGCGCUUUCGGGUGUCGCUGAUGGAUGGACCCGCGGUGCAUUAGCUAGUUGGUGAGGUAACGGCUCACCAAGGCCACGAUGCAUAGCCGACCUGAGAGGGUGAUCGGCCACACUGGGACUGAGACACGGCCCAGACUCCUACGGGAGGCAGCAGUAGGGAAUCUUCGGCAAUGGACGAAAGUCUGACCGAGCAACGCCGCGUGAGUGAAGAAGGUUUUCGGAUCGUAAAACUCUGUUGUUAGAGAAGAACAAGGACGUUAGUAACUGAACGUCCCCUGACGGUAUCUAACCAGAAAGCCACGGCUAACUACGUGCCAGCAGCCGCGGUAAUACGUAGGUGGCAAGCGUUGUCCGGAUUUAUUGGGCGUAAAGCGAGCGCAGGCGGUUUCUUAAGUCUGAUGUGAAAGCCCCCGGCUCAACCGGGGAGGGUCAUUGGAAACUGGGAGACUUGAGUGCAGAAGAGGAGAGUGGAAUUCCAUGGUUAACG
RNAcentral lists this ribosomal RNA (628 nucleotides) under Enterococcus faecalis. RNAcentral's name for it is "bacterial SSU rRNA". It matches the Rfam family "Bacterial small subunit ribosomal RNA", at positions 63 to 680 of the family's 1533-position model. Lineage: Bacteria; Bacillati; Bacillota; Bacilli; Lactobacillales; Enterococcaceae. The record is from RNAcentral.